AGAGUUUGAUCCUGGCUCAGGACGAACGCUGGCGGCGUGCUUAAUACAUGCAAGUCGAACGAGGUCCAUCCGAUCUUCGGAUUGGUGAAGACCUAAUGGCGAACGGGUGCGUAACACGUGAGAAACCUGCCCCGGUCUCUGGAAUAACAGUUGGAAACGGCUGCUAAUACCGGAUGCCGUCGGACCAUCGCAUGGUGGACCGACGAAAGGGUUACCGGACCGGGAGGGUCUCGCGGCCUAUCAGCUUGUUGGUGAGGUAACGGCUCACCAAGGCAUCGACGGGUAGCUGGUCUGAGAGGAUGAUCAACCACACUGGGACUGAGACACGGCCCAGACUCCUACGGGAGGCAGCAGUAGGGAAUAUUGCACAAUGGGCGAAAGCCUGAUGCAGCAACGCCGCGUGCGGGAAGAAGGCCCUAGGGUUGUAAACCGCUUUCAGCAGGGAAGAAAAUGACGGUACCUGCAGAAGAAGGUGCGGCCAACUACGUGCCAGCAGCCGCGGUGACACGUAGGCACCAAGCGUUGUCCGGAUUUAUUGGGCGUAAAGAGCUCGUAGGCGGUUCAGUAAGUCGGGUGUGAAAACUCUGGGCUCAACCCAGAGACGCCACUCGAUACUGCUGUGACUAGAGUGCGGUAGGGGAGCGGGGAAUUCCUAGUGUAGCGGUGAAAUGCGCAGAUAUUAGGAGGAACACCAGUGGCGAAGGCGCCGCUCUGGGCCGUAACUGACGCUGAGGAGCGAAAGCGUGGGUAGCAAACAGGAUUAGAUACCCUGGUAGUCCACGCCGUAAACGUUGGGCACUAGGUGUGGGUCUCAACCAACGAGAUCCGCGCCGUCGCUAACGCAUUAAGUGCCCCGCCUGGGGAGUACGGCCGCAAGGCUAAAACUCAAAGGAAUUGACGG
Molecule: ribosomal RNA, 901 nt
Filed under: uncultured marine bacterium
Lineage: Bacteria
Description: bacterial SSU rRNA
Rfam family: Bacterial small subunit ribosomal RNA
Source: RNAcentral